RNAcentral lists this ribosomal RNA (253 nucleotides) under uncultured bacterium. RNAcentral describes it as "partial 16S ribosomal RNA". It matches the Rfam family "Bacterial small subunit ribosomal RNA", at positions 524 to 776 of the family's 1533-position model. The record is from RNAcentral.
UACGUAGGGAGCAAGCGUUGUCCGGAAUCAUUGGGCGUAAAGCGCGCGUAGGCGGCCCUGUAAGUCCGUUGUGAAAGUCAAAGGCUCAACCUUUGAAAGCCGAUGGAUACUGCAGGGCUAGAGUCCGGAAGAGGCGAGUGGAAUUCCUGGUGUAGCGGUGAAAUGCGCAGAUAUCAGGAGGAACACCGAUGGCGAAGGCAGGUCUCUGGGCCACUACUGACGCUGAGAAGCGAAAGCAUGGGGAGCGAACAGG